This 369-nucleotide ribosomal RNA is filed under the name uncultured phototrophic eukaryote. RNAcentral describes it as "SSU rRNA". It matches the Rfam family "Bacterial small subunit ribosomal RNA", at positions 524 to 896 of the family's 1533-position model. The record is from RNAcentral.
UACGGGGGAUGCAAGCGUUAUCCGGAAUUAUUGGGCGUAAAGCGCCUGUAGGUUGUUUAAUAAGUCUGUUGUUAAAGACUAGGGCUUAACCCUAGAAAAGCAAUGGAAACUACUAGACUAGAGUAUGGUAAGGAUAGAGGGAAUUUCUAGUGUAGCGGUGAAAUGCGUAGAUAUUAGAAAGAACACCAGUGGCGAAAGCGCUCUAUUAGGCCAUUACUGACACUCAGAGGCGAAAGCUAGGGUAGCAAAAGGGAUUAGAUACCCCUGUAGUCCUAGCCGUAAACGAUGGAUACUAGAUGUUGUAUAUAACUUACAGUAUCGUAGCUAACGCGUUAAGUAUCCCGCCUGGGGAGUACGCUCGCAAGGGUG